Rhinolophus ferrumequinum (greater horseshoe bat) is the source of this 134-nucleotide small nucleolar RNA. The record is from Ensembl. NCBI's taxonomy places the organism in Eukaryota, Metazoa, Chordata, Mammalia, Chiroptera, Rhinolophidae.
GCAUGGGUUUGGAUUUAUGGCAGACCCGUCCCUGUGGGCCACUCAUAGUGCCCCACGCCAGAGCAAACUGUGGCUCUGAACCAUUGCCUAGCCUCUGCCUAUAGGCUGUAGGCACUGAAGUGGGUUGCACAGUU